This 2320-nucleotide ribosomal RNA is filed under the name Euglenaria anabaena. RNAcentral describes it as "bacterial SSU rRNA". It matches the Rfam family "Eukaryotic small subunit ribosomal RNA". The record is from RNAcentral. Lineage: Eukaryota; Euglenozoa; Euglenophyceae; Euglenales; Euglenaceae.
CUGGUUGAUCCUGCGAGUAGUCAUAUGCUCCGACCAAGGACUAAGCCAUGCAUGUCUCAGCACAAACGGUUCAACAGUGAGUCUGUGAAUGGCUCCUUACAUCAGCAGUCAUCUCUGUGGUAAAGUGCGGCUAGUGCCCAACUGCCAGGGUACUCAUUUGGACAUCCUCCAAAACUUGGUGGCUAAUACACGAUUGCCCAGGUCUGCCAUGACACAUAACCUGGUUUGAGACAGCUGGCACCCCAAUGGGCCAAAGUCUCCGGGUGGUUGGAUUGCACCCAGCCGUCCAUGAAGACCAGCGUCCGGCAAGGACAGUGUGUCUGGCUGACUCAGGCUGGUCCCUCUGAGGACUGUUUGUGCUGGCGGAAGAGAGAGGUGGCUUCUAAAGCCAUAUCAUGCACUGCUUGAUCACAUGGAACUUCUGACCUAUCAGCCUUGACUGUGGUGCAGUGGACCACAAUGGCAUUAACGGGUAACGGAGAAUCUGGGUUUGAUUCCGGAGAGGGAGCCUGAGAGACGGCUACCACUACCAAGGUGGGCAGCAGGCGCGCAAAUUGCCCAAUACCAACACCAUGGGUGAGGCAGCAACGGUCAGCAGCAAUUCUGCCAGCACCUGUUGCUGGUGGAACUUGGAAUGGAUGCUAUCCAAAGUCCGCUAUGAGUACCAACUGGAGGGCAAGUCUGGUGCCAGCAGCUGCGGUAAUUCCAGCUCCAGUGGCGUAUACUAACAUUGCUGCGGUUGAAACGUUUGUAGUCUGCUUCUGGGUGACUUGGUCUGUCAGGAGGUCUGGGCCACUGUGUGUGGGGUCCAAGGAUCCCUAGCACUGUGCCAGACCACCAACCCCUGGCAGUGAGUCCAGCACCCGCACUUGAUGGCCCUGAUCUGCUCUUGCAUGAAGCCCCCUUCAGUGGAGGUUGAGGCAGUUGGUGCACCCAACACCUGCUUGGACAUCAGAGAGGGUGUGCAGCCCUGUGCUGCACAAGUUCCAACCCAGUCCGCUACCAGAGCCAGCCAUCAAUGACACUAUGGAAAACUCAGUGUGCUCAAAGCAUCCAAGUCCUUGGCUGAAUGCCUGUCCAUGGAAUGUCACAGUAUCGACCUUGUGGGCCAUAGAGUUGUGCUGGCCUUGGUGCCCACCUCAGGGCAAACGGGUGCCUGUUCCCCUGGUUUGUGGGCAAGGGCUGUGUGGGCUGAGUGGCUGGUGUCCACUCACCUCCAAGAUUCCUGUCCCAGCCAGUUGUGGCAGCAUCCUCCGGACAUGAUGGGAUCACUCAGGGUGAAAGGUACCACUGCGCCAGAGGUGAAAUUCUUAGACCGCAGUGAGACCCACAGCGGCGCAGGCGCUUUGCAAGUUUGUGUCCAUCGAUCAAGAGCGAGAGCCUGGGGAUCAAAGAUGAUCAGACACCGUCGUAGUCCAGGGCUGUAAACCAUGUCAGCUCGGAGACCACUGGGUAAACCACCAGACCCAUGUGGCUUCCAUCACCCCCUGCAACGAGAAAUCCAAGCCUUUGGAUUCCGGGGGGAGUACUGUUGCAAGGCUGAAACUUAAAGGAAUUGACGGAAUGGCACCACAAGGCGUGGAGUAUGCGGCUUAAUUUGACUCAACACGGGGAACGUUACCAGGUCAGGACAAAGCCAGGAUUGACAGACUGAGAGCUCUUUCUUGAUCCUUUGGAUGGUGGUGCAUGGCCGCUCCUGAUUGGUGGAGUGAUUUGUCUGGUUGAUUCCGAUAACGAGUGAGACCUCUACCUCCCACUAGCCCCUGGACCGUAUCUGUAGGGUGGACAUGGGCUGGUCCCUUUCUGGGGCCCGCAAGCAUCCCAUUCCCUUUCGGGGGUUUGUGGGUGGGCCUGUGAGUUCAACCACCUGAGGCCCAGGGUUUGCUUCUCUGAGGUGCUGUGUCCGUUCCAAAGGACAUGCAUGCUAGAGCCAACAGCAGGUCUGUGAUGCUCCCAGAUGUCCUGGGCCGCACGCGCACUACAUUGACUCAGUGAGGGUGUGACCUCCAUCCCAGAUGGAGCCUGCACAGAAGUGUGUGGGAAAUCCUGCAAGCCUGAGCUGUACUGGGGAUAGAUGAUUGCCACUGUCUGCCUUGAACGAGGAAUGCCUAGUAUGCGUUGGUCAUCAGCCAACACAGAAUGCGUCCCUGCCAUUUGUACACACCGCCCGUCGUUGCUACCGAUGUUGGCUGGACAGAGGCAUCAGGAGGCCAGCCUGUGGGUGUGUCAGGGUGGGUCCUCCCACCAUGGUUCCAACACACCCCAGCAGCCAAACUUGGUCAAUGUUCAGCCAAUAGAGGAAGCAAAAGUCGUAACAAGG